This 1515-nucleotide long non-coding RNA is filed under the name Nothobranchius furzeri (turquoise killifish). RNAcentral's name for it is "lncRNA (ENSNFUG00015002685.1)". The record is from RNAcentral. Lineage: Eukaryota; Metazoa; Chordata; Actinopteri; Cyprinodontiformes; Nothobranchiidae.
AUGGCAUCACCAACUUCAAAAAAAUGGAAAAAGGCUAUGAAAGAGGAAGUAGCCUCUCUUGAAGAGAACAACACCUACUCACUUGUACCGUUACCAGAGGGUAGACAGACAGUGGGGGAAAGGUGGGUGUACGCUCUUAAAGAGGAUGAUAAGGGGAAUGAAGUGUAUAAGGCCAGAUACGUGGCAAAGGGAUACAGCCAAGUAGAAGGACUCAACUAUUCAGAGACUUUUUCCCCGACAGCUAACCUGACAUCACUACGGGCACUAAUGCAACUUGCUGCACAACAUAAUCUUGCACUAAAUCAGAUGGAUGUCAAGGCAGCAUAUUUACAUGCACCAGUUGACUGUGAGAUCUAUGUGGAUCAACCUGAAGGUUUCCACCUCGAUUCAAAGGAGGGGGUGCAACUUGUGUGUAAGUUAAACAAAUCUAUUUAUGGUCUCAAGCAGUCAGGCAGGAAUUGGAAUAUGGUGCUCCAUGAAUUCCUGAUUGAAAAUGAUUUUGAUCAUAGCCAAGCUGACCACUGUAUCUAUACCAAACUUUCUGACAAAGAGAAGGUCAUUCUGCUAGUGUGGGUAGAUGAUAUAGUUGUGGCUGCCAGCGAUGAGGUGUGUUUGAGAGAGAUCAAGGACAGAUUGAAAAGUAGGUUUAAAAUGAAAAACCUUGGAAACCUCACACAGUUCAUUGGGAUUGAUUUCACCCAAAAGGAUGAAUGUGUAAAAAUGAAUCAGUCCAGAUACAUCAGGAAAAUACUAAAAUGGUUUGGCAUGGCAGAGUGUAAAGCUAGAGCUACACCCAGUGAGAUGAAAUGUGACUUGUCACCAGAGGGUGGAAAAACUGAUCAAAGAAAUUACAGAGAAAUUUUGGGCAGCCUCAUCUAUAUCAUGACCUGUACUAGACCAGACAUCAGUUGGAUUGUAAGUAAACUGUCUCAGUACAUGUCAGAUCCCAGAGAAAAACACAUGACUGCUUUGAAGCAUGUGUACAGAUACUUACAGGGGACCAUGGACUAUGAACCGUGUUACAACCAAUGUUCAUCAGAUUUGGAACUGGUUGGAUACUCUGACACGGACUGGGCAAAUGAUGUUCAGGACAGGAAGAGCACUACAGGCUAUUGUUUCAGCCUCAGUCAAGAAAGUGCCAUUAUUUCAAGGAAAGCAAAGAAACAACCAACGGCGGCACUGUCGACAUGUGAAUCGGAGUAUGUGGCCUUAGCAGCUACUGUUCAGGAAGCGCUCCAUUUGACUCAACUGUUAAAGGACAUUGGCUGCAGUUCAAAACAUGCAGCAAAAGUCUUUGAAGAGUGCCAAGGGACUAUAUGCCUUGCAAAGAACCCUGUCAACCGUCAGAGGAACAAACAUGUGGACAUUAAAUAUCACUUCAUCAGGUCUAAUGUGGUUCAGGGGAAAGUUGUUUUGGUGUAUUGUCCAACUGAGAAUAUGGUUGAAGGUGUAUUCACAAAGUCUGCUUCUAGAGCCAAGGUUGAAAAGUUCAAGCCCAAUAUAUUUGGAAAAUAA